This 92-nucleotide non-coding RNA is filed under the name pig gut metagenome. RNAcentral describes it as "SAM riboswitch (S box leader)". It matches the Rfam family "SAM riboswitch aptamer (S box leader)". Rfam says of the family: The SAM riboswitch is found upstream of a number of genes which code for proteins involved in methionine or cysteine biosynthesis in Gram-positive bacteria. The SAM riboswitch acts at the level of transcription termination control. The predicted structure consists of a complex stem-loop region followed by a single stem loop terminator region. The record is from RNAcentral.
CUCAUCCAGAGUAGUUGAGGGAACGGCCCGAUGAUACUACAGCAACCGUUCAAACGGUGCUAAUUCCGACAGUGAUUGACUGACAGAUGAGG